AAGGGUUUCUAGAAAGGGGAAAGGUGCGGCCCAAGUCUAAGAGGAUGAGGAUAGGUCAUCUAAAAGCCCAAAGCCAAGAAUAGAAACUCUCAAAAAUGGAAACCUCCAAGAAUAGAAACUUCCAACUUUAGAAACUUUGGUUUCCACUUCUGCAUUCUUUGUUCUUCACUUUCAUUUCUUCAUCUCUUAGGCUUCUUUGACCUUCAAACUUGUCCAUUCCUUGUGCUCCAUAUGCAUACACUCCAUUCCAGCUCAAUUUUGCUCUAAAAUGCUCCAAUUUGCAUCAUUUUAUGUAAUAUGCCCUUAAAACCUGAAAACACAUGAAACUAACUUAAAAGACUACUUUAAACUC
RNAcentral lists this long non-coding RNA (352 nucleotides) under Malus domestica (apple). RNAcentral describes it as "long non-coding RNA (MDOM_LNC002897)". The record is from RNAcentral. Lineage: Eukaryota; Viridiplantae; Streptophyta; Magnoliopsida; Rosales; Rosaceae.